CCUACGGGAGACAGCAGUGAGGAAUAUUGAUCAAUGGACGAGAGUCUGAACCGGCCAAGUAGCGUGAAGGAUGACUGCCCUAUGGGUUGUAAACUUCUUUUAUAUGGGAAUAAAAUGUUCCACGUGUGGGAUUUUGUAUGUACCAUAUGAAUAAGGAUCGGCUAACUCCGUGCCAGCAGCCGCGGUAAUACGGAGGAUCCGAGCGUUAUCCGGAUUUAUUGGGUUUAAAGGGAGCGUAGGUGGAUUGUUAAGUCAGUUGUGAAAGUUUGCGGCUCAACCGUAAAAUUGCAGUUGAAACUGGCAGUCUUGAGUACAGUAGAGGUGGGCGGAAUUCGUGGUGUAGCGGUGAAAUGCUUAGAUAUCACGAAGAACUCCGAUUGCGAAGGCAGUUCACUGGACUGCAACUGACACUGAGGCUCGAAAGUGUGGGUAUCAAACAGGAUUAGAUACCCCAGUAGUC
RNAcentral lists this ribosomal RNA (460 nucleotides) under uncultured bacterium. RNAcentral describes it as "partial 16S ribosomal RNA". It matches the Rfam family "Bacterial small subunit ribosomal RNA", at positions 338 to 795 of the family's 1533-position model. The record is from RNAcentral.